UUGUUGGUAAGGUAAAAGCUUACCAAGGCUUCGAUCAGUAGCUGGUCUGAGAGGACGACCAGCCACACUGGGACUGAGACACGGCCCAGACUCCUACGGGAGGCAGCAGUGGGGAAUUUUGGACAAUGGGGGCAACCCUGAUCCAGCCAUGCCGCGUGAGUGAAGAAGGCCUUCGGGUUGUAAAGCUCUUUCAGCCGGAACGAAACGGUUACGGUUAACACCCGUGACUACUGACGGUACCGGAAGAAGAAGCACCGGCUAACUACGUGCCAGCAGCCGCGGUAAUACGUAGGGUGCGAGCGUUAAUCGGAAUUACUGGGCGUAAAGCGUGCGCAGGUGGUUUUGUAAGUCAGAUGUGAAAGCCCCGGGCUCAACCAGGGAACUGCGUUUGAAACUACAAGACUAGAGUGUGGCAGAGGGGGGUGGAAUUCCGCGUGUAGCAGUGAAAUGCGUAGAGAUGUGGAGGAACACCGAUGGCGAAGGCAGCCCCCUGGGUCAACACUGACGCUCAGGCACGAAAGCAUGGGGAGCAAACAGGAUUAGAUACCCUGGUAGUCCAUGCCCUAAACGAUGUCAACUAGUUGUCGGGCCUUUACGGGCUUGGUAACGUAGCUAACGCGUGAAGUUGACCGCCUGGGGAGUACGAUCGCAAGAUUAAAACUCAAAUGAAUUGACGGGGACCCGCACAAGCGGUGGAUUAUGUGGAUUAAUUCGAUGCAACGCGAAAAACCUUACCUACCCUUGACAUGUAUCGAAGCCCGCAGAAAAGCGGGGGUGCCCGAAAGGGAACGAUAACACAGGUGCUGCAUGGCUGUCGUCAGCUCGUGUCGUGAGAUGUUGGGUUAAGUCCCGCAACGAGCGCAACCCUUGUCAUUAAUUGCCAUCAUUUAGUUGGGCACUUUAAUGAGACUGCCGG
This 916-nucleotide ribosomal RNA is filed under the name uncultured bacterium. RNAcentral describes it as "bacterial SSU rRNA". It matches the Rfam family "Bacterial small subunit ribosomal RNA", at positions 246 to 1155 of the family's 1533-position model. The record is from RNAcentral.